CCUACGGGGGGCUGCAGUGAGGAAUAUUGGUCAAUGGGCGCGAGCCUGAACCAGCCAAGUCGCGUGAGGGAUGACGGUCCUACGGAUUGUAAACUUCUUUUGUCGGGGAGCAAAAGACGCCACGCGUGGCGUUCCGAGUGUACCCGAUGAAUAAGCAUCGGCUAACUCCGUGCCAGCAGCCGCGGUAAUACGGAGGAUGCGAGCGUUAUCCGGAUUUAUUGGGUUUAAAGGGUGCGUAGGCGGAAGAUCAAGUCAGCGGUAAAAUGUAGGGGCUCAACCCCGUCGAGCCGUUGAAACUGGUUGUCUUGAGUGAGGGAGAAGUAUGCGGAAUGCGUGGUGUAGCGGUGAAA
RNAcentral lists this ribosomal RNA (350 nucleotides) under uncultured bacterium. RNAcentral's name for it is "partial 16S ribosomal RNA". It matches the Rfam family "Bacterial small subunit ribosomal RNA", at positions 338 to 686 of the family's 1533-position model. The record is from RNAcentral.